AAGUCGUAACAAGGUUUCCGUAGGUGAACCUGCGGAAGGAUCAUCAAUAGUUCCAAUAAAUACCUUCUUGUGCACUGUUUCUGGUACGGAUGUUUAUAUGGUGGUUUGCUUGUUUUUGUAACGGGCGAUUGCCGUGUGAAUGUCUAUAUGUUAUCAUUACAAACUCUGUCUAAAUAUUAUAUAUAAGUCUAAGUAAUUUGCAAUGUUGUAUGGUCUGUUAGCAAUAACGGAUUGAAUACGUACAUCUGCCAUUAUUAAUUUAAUGUCAAUACAACUUGCAGCGAUGGAUCUCUAGGCUCUG
RNAcentral lists this unclassified non-coding RNA (301 nucleotides) under fungal sp. Its description in RNAcentral is "partial internal transcribed spacer region". The stretch from base 1 to 46 matches the Rfam family "Eukaryotic small subunit ribosomal RNA", at positions 1786 to 1831 of the family's 1831-position model. The record is from RNAcentral. Lineage: Eukaryota; Fungi.